AGAAAUAUGUCUGACAAAGAGUUACUUUGAUAGAGUAAAUAAUAGAGGCCCAACCCUCUUAUUUCUA
RNAcentral lists this transfer RNA (67 nucleotides) under Macaca fascicularis (crab-eating macaque). RNAcentral's name for it is "tRNA-Ile". The record is from RNAcentral. Lineage: Eukaryota; Metazoa; Chordata; Mammalia; Primates; Cercopithecidae.